Molecule: ribosomal RNA, 465 nt
Filed under: uncultured bacterium
Lineage: Bacteria
Description: partial 16S ribosomal RNA
Rfam family: Bacterial small subunit ribosomal RNA
Source: RNAcentral
CUACGGGGGGCACCAGUGAGGAAUUUUGCGCAAUGGGGGGAACCCUGACGCAGCAACGCCGUGUGAGUGAAGAAGGCCUUUGGGUCGUAAAGCUCUGUCAACUGGGAAGAAGUUACUAUGCUUAAAUAGAGUGUAGUAUUGACGGUACCAGUGGAGGAAGCGUCGGCUAACUCCGUGCCAGCAGCCGCGGUAACACGGGGGACGCAAGCGUUAUUCGGAAUUAUUGGGCGUAAAGGGCGCGUAGGCGGUCUUGUCGGUCAGGUGUGAAAGCCCGGGGCUCAACCCCGGACGUGCACUUGAAACAGCAAGACUUGAGUACGGGAGAGGAAAGCGGAAUUCCUGGUGUAGAGGUGAAAUUCGUAGAUAUCAGGAGGAACACCGAUGGCGAAGGCAGCUUUCUGGACCGAAACUGACGCUGAGGCGCGAAGGCGUGGGUAGCGAACGGGAUUAGAUACCCCUGUAGUC